CCUACGGGAGGCAGCAGUGGGGAAUAUUGCACAAUGGGCGCAAGCCUGAUGCAGCCAUGCCGCGUGUGUGAAGAAGGCCUUCGGGUUGUAAAGCACUUUCAGUCGUGAGGAAGGUGGUGUAGUUAAUAGCUGCAUCAUUUGACGUUAGCGACAGAAGAAGCACCGGCUAACUCCGUGCCAGCAGCCGCGGUAAU
This 194-nucleotide ribosomal RNA is filed under the name uncultured bacterium. RNAcentral's name for it is "partial 16S ribosomal RNA". It matches the Rfam family "Bacterial small subunit ribosomal RNA", at positions 338 to 524 of the family's 1533-position model. The record is from RNAcentral.